CUUUACAUUAUUUAGUUACCAGUAAAAUGCUGCAACUGACAGCAGCCGAGUAGCUCCCACAUGACCCCUCUGCUUGUUGCAACAUUUUGGUAAAGAAAGUAAAAAACAGAGUCCUUCUACAGUUGUAAUUUCUGGCAACGUUGUAAAGAAAAUUUUUUUAUUAUUUUAUUUCAUUUUUUGAUUUUAAAUACUUUUUGCGGCAACAUCAUGUAAUUCGGUGUUAUUUUUAUGCAGGACAAAUGCACAUCAU
Molecule: unclassified non-coding RNA, 250 nt
Filed under: Hevea brasiliensis (rubber tree)
Lineage: Eukaryota; Viridiplantae; Streptophyta; Magnoliopsida; Malpighiales; Euphorbiaceae
Source: RNAcentral